RNAcentral lists this ribosomal RNA (498 nucleotides) under uncultured Caryophanales bacterium. RNAcentral describes it as "bacterial SSU rRNA". It matches the Rfam family "Bacterial small subunit ribosomal RNA", at positions 31 to 507 of the family's 1533-position model. Lineage: Bacteria; Bacillati; Bacillota; Bacilli; Caryophanales. The record is from RNAcentral.
AGAACGCUGGCGGCAUGCCUAAUACAUGCAAGUCGAGCGAACAGACGAGGAGCUUGCUCCUCUCUCUGUUAGCGGCGGAAUGGGUGAGUAACACGUGGGCAACCUGCCCUGUAGUUGGGGAUAACUCCGGGAAAUCGGGGCUAAUACCGAAUAAUCAAUUCUUUCGCAUGAAAGAGUUUUGAAAGACGGCUUCGGCUGUCGCUAUAGGAUGGGCCCGCGGCGCAUUAGCUAGUUGGUAAGGUAACGGCUUACCAAGGCGACGAUGCGUAGCCGACCUGAGAGGGUGAUCGGCCACACUGGGACUGAGGCACGGCCCAGACUCCUACGGGAGGCAGCAGUAGGGAAUCAUCCACAAUGGACGAAAGUCUGAUGGUGCAAUGCCGCGUGAGUGAAGAAGGUUUUCGGAUCGUAAAGCUCUGUUGUGAGGGAAGAACAAGUACAAGAGUAACUGCUUGUACCUUGACGGUACCUCAUUAGAAAGCCACGGCUAACUACGUG